Thermococcus pacificus is the source of this 65-nucleotide non-coding RNA. The record is from Rfam. Lineage: Archaea; Methanobacteriati; Methanobacteriota; Thermococci; Thermococcales; Thermococcaceae.
GGACGAUGAGGAGAAAGCACCUCCUCUGAGACCGGCGUGAGUGCUGAGACGCCCACGGUCUGAGU